RNAcentral lists this unclassified non-coding RNA (310 nucleotides) under uncultured bacterium. Its description in RNAcentral is "contains 16S-23S intergenic spacer region". The record is from RNAcentral.
CUGAUUAUAUGUUUGAUUAGCUCAUAGAGCUCUAAAUACCAAUCCUCGAUUCAAUUGCCCGUUCUAGUAAUACCAAAAUUAUUCAAUGAUACAAAUGACUAUCUGCUUGAUGGAUAUUCGUCCUUUAGGGUUUGCUCAGCUGAACCCGUUAUGUGCUCUAUCUCCGGAUCCUCUUUUAGAAGACGCUCUAGUUCUUCUGUAUCAAUAUGCACAGCCUUGAGUCUAAGAGUCCUAUCGUCUUUUUCGGAGGGAACACGUUCAUAUUUAUUGUAUAGCUUAUCUAUUUUCUCUUCUAAACGUACUCGAUCCU